Molecule: ribosomal RNA, 306 nt
Filed under: uncultured bacterium
Lineage: Bacteria
Description: partial 16S ribosomal RNA
Rfam family: Bacterial small subunit ribosomal RNA
Source: RNAcentral
GACAGCAGCAGCCACGGGAAUACGUAGGUGGCAAGCGUUGUCCGGAAUUAUUGGGCGUAAAGGGCUCGCAGGCGGUUUCUUAAGUCUGAUGUGAAAGCCCCCGGCUCAACCGGGGAGGGUCAUUGGAAACUGGGAAACUUGAGUGCAGAAGAGGAGAGUGGAAUUCCACGUGUAGCGGUGAAAUGCGUAGAGAUGUGGAGGAACACCAGUGGCGAAGGCGACUCUCUGGUCUGUAACUGACGCUGAGGAGCGAAAGCGUGGGGAGCGAACAGGAUUAGAUACCCGCGUAGUCCCUGUCUCUUAUAC